UACGUAGGGGGCAAGCGUUGUCCGGAAUCAUUGGGCGUAAAGAGCGUGUAGGCGGCCCGAUAAGUCCGCCGUGAAAGUCCAGGGCUCAACCCUGGAAUGCCGGUGGAAACUGUCGGGCUGGAGUCCGGAAGAGGCGAGUGGAAUUCCUGGUGUAGCGGUGAAAUGCGCAGAUAUCAGGAGGAACACCAAUGGCGAAGGCAGCUCGCUGGGACGGUACUGACGC
RNAcentral lists this ribosomal RNA (223 nucleotides) under uncultured bacterium. RNAcentral describes it as "partial 16S ribosomal RNA". It matches the Rfam family "Bacterial small subunit ribosomal RNA", at positions 524 to 746 of the family's 1533-position model. The record is from RNAcentral.